Molecule: long non-coding RNA, 387 nt
Filed under: Dermacentor andersoni
Lineage: Eukaryota; Metazoa; Arthropoda; Arachnida; Ixodida; Ixodidae
Description: uncharacterized LOC126523965
Source: RNAcentral
GAACGCUCGACGACUGAUGCGGAAGAAGCAGCUUGCCUCGUUUCGCAGGGGCCAUCAAAGGAAAUCGUGAAGCUCACAGGCGCCCGGAAACUCGCCGACCUCCACGAAAGCCUGCGGACGGGAGGGUUCGUGUACCUGAUGACAGGCAACGAUCUUCUAAUACAGAUCUUCCAAUGACCGGUUCCAGUGCUACGUCGACAUGGGUGAAAGCACGACAGUGUGUGAUGGAGCAUUGAUUAACUUGGUUGUCUCCCCAAGCCACCCCGAAGCAUCAGAGGCACCAAAAAAGCCGCUGUCUGUUAGUGCAGUUCGACAUGUGGAGAAUGCAGUCAAAGGACAGUACAAGGAAUUGUCAGCGUACACACUGCCUCCGAUGCCCAUUGACAU